Molecule: long non-coding RNA, 253 nt
Organism: Dipodomys spectabilis (banner-tailed kangaroo rat)
Lineage: Eukaryota; Metazoa; Chordata; Mammalia; Rodentia; Heteromyidae
Exons: 3
Source: RefSeq, a predicted model, not a curated record
AUGUGCAGAGGGGUUACAGUUACAAACAUAAGUACCCAAAUAAGAAUAGGAGAGUGAGUAGUGACCCCUUGAGACUGUUGAAGUUAUUCAUUGUCCUCAGAAUCAUGGAUACAUCAAGCAGUGCAAGAAGGUGAACCAACAUUCCACAUCUCUUCACCAAAUUGUCCCCACCCAGCACUAUCUUCUCAGAAUAUCCUCUGUGCCUCUAUUUCUUUACAACGGAAUAAAAGUGGAUGCCUUAUAUUUUCAUAGA